RNAcentral lists this ribosomal RNA (499 nucleotides) under uncultured bacterium. RNAcentral describes it as "partial 16S ribosomal RNA". It matches the Rfam family "Bacterial small subunit ribosomal RNA", at positions 28 to 507 of the family's 1533-position model. The record is from RNAcentral.
GACGAACGCUGGCGGCGUGCCUAAUACAUGCAAGUCGAGCGGACUUUCAAGAAGCUUGCUUUUUGAAAGUUAGCGGCGGACGGGUGAGUAACACGUGGGCAACCUGCCUGCAAGACGGGGAUAACUCCGGGAAACCGGGGCUAAUACCGGAUAAUAUCUUCCUUCGCAUGAAGGAUGGUUGAAAGGCGGCGCAAGCUGCCGCUUGCAGAUGGGCCCGCGGCGCAUUCGCUAGUUGGUGAUGUAACGGCUCACCAACGCGACGAUGCGUAGCCGACCUGAGGGGGUGAUCGGCCACACUGGGACUGAGACACGGCCCAGACUCCUACGGGAGGCAGCAGGAGGGAAUCUUCCGCAAAGGACGAAAGUCUGACGGGGCAACGCCGCGUGAGCGAAGAAGGGCUUCGGAUCGGAAAGCUCUGUUGUCAGGGAAGAACAAGUACCGUUCGAACAGGGCGGUACCUUGACGGUACCUGACCAGAAAGCCACGGCUAACUACGUG